GGAGAGGUGGCUGAGAGGUUGAAAGCGCCAGAUUGCUAAUCUGUUAUAUAAUAAUUAUUAUAUCGAGGGUUCGAAUCCCUUCCUCUCCU
RNAcentral lists this transfer RNA (89 nucleotides) under Pterosiphonia complanata. RNAcentral's name for it is "tRNA-Ser". It matches the Rfam family "tRNA". From Rfam's summary of the family: Transfer RNA (tRNA) molecules are approximately 80 nucleotides in length. Their secondary structure includes four short double-helical elements and three loops (D, anti-codon, and T loops). The record is from RNAcentral. Lineage: Eukaryota; Rhodophyta; Florideophyceae; Ceramiales; Rhodomelaceae.